Non-coding RNA from Cynocephalus volans (Philippine flying lemur), 74 nucleotides. Lineage: Eukaryota; Metazoa; Chordata; Mammalia; Dermoptera; Cynocephalidae. The record is from the annotation of a RefSeq genome assembly.
GGCCAGUUAGCUCACUUGGGAGAGUGUGGUGCUGGUGACACCAAGGCCAUGGGUUCAGAUCCCCAUACUGGCCA